GUCCUGGCCGUAACGAUGAGCACUAGGCCGGAGGGCUGCACAGCUUUUCGGCCGUAGCUAAAGUGUUAAGUGCUCCGCCUGGGGAGUAUGGUCGCAAAGGCUGAAACUCAAAGGAAUUGACGGGGGCUCACACAAGCGGUGGAGGAUGUGGCUCAAUUCGAGGCUACGCGAAGAACCUUAUCCUAGUCUUGACAUGGUUUAGAAUCCUCCCGAAAGGGAGGAGUGCCCGCAAGGGAGCUUUUUCACAGGUGCUGCAUGGCUGUCGU
Molecule: ribosomal RNA, 266 nt
Filed under: uncultured bacterium
Lineage: Bacteria
Description: partial 16S ribosomal RNA
Rfam family: Bacterial small subunit ribosomal RNA
Source: RNAcentral